GCGCUAUAGGGUUGGCCGAUGGCUGAUUAGCUAGUUGGUGGGGUAAAGGCCUACCAAGGCGACGAUCAGUAGCUGGUCUGAGAGGACGACCAGCCACACUGGGACUGAGACACGGCCCAGACUCCUACGGGAGGCAGCAGUGGGGAAUUUUGGACAAUGGGCGAA
Molecule: ribosomal RNA, 165 nt
Filed under: Burkholderia multivorans
Lineage: Bacteria; Pseudomonadati; Pseudomonadota; Betaproteobacteria; Burkholderiales; Burkholderiaceae
Description: partial 16S ribosomal RNA
Rfam family: Bacterial small subunit ribosomal RNA
Source: RNAcentral